UAUUCAACCAACCCUACUUUCUUCUCCUCCUUAAAUCGCUAACGGCAGUAGCAACCCCCCCUCCUGUUCGAGUGACAUCUUAAUUAGCCAGAUCUCCGGUGAUUUGCAUACAAACUGGGUUGGUCGAAUUGUGUUAAGCAAAGUAACUAAUCCUACCGAGCAAACCGAAGGUCAUUAUCGUUUGGAACAUGGACUUGCUAUCUGGGAGUGC
This is a long non-coding RNA of Helianthus annuus (common sunflower), 211 nucleotides long. RefSeq lists it as uncharacterized. Lineage: Eukaryota; Viridiplantae; Streptophyta; Magnoliopsida; Asterales; Asteraceae. The record is from RefSeq and is a predicted model, not a curated record. The transcript has 3 exons.